UGAGGAAUAUUGGUCAAUGGGCGAGAGCCUGAACCAGCCAUGCCGCGUGCAGGAAGACGGCCCUAAGGGUUGUAAACUGCUUUUUUACGGGGGUAAUAGCUAGUCUGCGGACUGGUAUGAAAGUACUGUAAGAAUAAGCGUCGGCUAACUACGUGCCAGCAGCCGCGGUAAUACGUAGGACGCAAGCGUUAUCCGGAUUUAUUGGGUUUAAAGGGUGCGUAGGCGGACCCAUAAGUCAGUGGUGAAAGACUGUCGCUUAACGAUAGCAUUGCCAUUGAUACUGUGGGUCUUGAGUAUAAUUGAGGUAGGCGGAAUGUGUAGUGUAGCGGUGAAAUGCUUAGAUAUUACACAGAACACCGAUUGCGAAGGCAGCUUACUAAGUUAUAACUGACGCUGAGGC
Molecule: ribosomal RNA, 400 nt
Filed under: uncultured bacterium
Lineage: Bacteria
Description: bacterial SSU rRNA
Rfam family: Bacterial small subunit ribosomal RNA
Source: RNAcentral